CCGCCGCGGAAGAGAUGGUGGAGCUCUAUUCAGGCUCAUUACUCUUCGGUUAAUCAACCACAGGUUGGAGGAGCCACCCCUGCAACACUUUAGGCUUUCUCUCUUUAAUCUGGAAGCAUCUGUUCGCCACCCUGAAGGAUGUCGGACACUCUGACCAGAGGGUUUCGUUCCCAGCUGACCACGUCAAUGGACGUAGUCUUAAAGAGGACUGUGUUGGAAGUCAUGAAUAUUUUUGAAAACACUGUGUACGAAUAUCGAAUGCAACUUUCAUACAAAGUCAAAGAGGUGUCUGAGCUCAAAGCGAAGUUGCAGACAGCAGAGUUGAGGCUGCAAGCCCUGCUGCAUGGGAAGGAUGGAGGACAAGAAAUUACCCAAGUGGCAAGUGAAACUCAAACACCAUCUGAAGCUCCUACACAAACCCGGACACAAUCCACUGAUGUGUCCGAAGUUGAUGCUGUACCUGAAGACUGGUGUGAACCUGUGAGCUCCGAGACUAUGAGCGUUCAAGAUGUUGGUGAAUCUCCUGGUGUAAAACUUCGCCCGCUGUCCAUCUCUCUUUGGAAUCUUCCAGUCCGCAAAACUGAGGGGGGUUACUGUGGCAUUGACUCACACCUCAAAACCUGGAAUUCCACGAGAUUCACUGCUUCAAACAAUCCGAACAUGAGUAGGAUUAAAACUUUUCCAGUGCCAAACUUGGAACAAGAGUCACCCGACCAAGCACAACUCGAAGAUCUGAGAAGACGCAAGAAAAUGUCAGCAGGAGAGGUGAAAAAGCAAACGGUGAAGAGGAAGAAAAAUAAAAAAGCUGCAGAGGCCAGGUCUACUGAGGUGAACACUGUGGAAAAAAAUGUAGGCAACAUGUACCCUUGUAAAGUUUGCAACAAAGUAUAUGAAUCAGAUUAUGGCCUACAUGAGCAUGCACGAAUCCAUAAGCAAUGCAGUGGCUGCAAAAAAAUCUUCCCGUCAAAAAGGUUGUUUAUUUGUCACAAGCUGUCUUGUAGAAAAUUGAAAGUGCAGGUUCCAGCAACAACCAGCCCUCCAGAACUCUCCCAUGAAGGAGAAAACGCGCUCGCUGCAAGCAAAAAGCUGACCGCUAUUAACAAAAAAAGGACACCUUCCCUUGGCAGUAAAUUGGCCACAAAUAAAGGUGCUUCCACCAGUAAGUAUGCUUGUCCACACUGUGAUGAAACGUAUGCGAAUCCGUUCUUGCUAAAACAGCAUGUAAGGGUUCAUUUCAGCAAGAAGUUAACCCCUUGCACUGUGUGUUCAAAGAUGUUUCGCAACAAGAAAGGCAUGAAAAUCCACAGGGCGAAAGCCCACGAAAAUAAAAUGAAUGCAAGUGACGGAACAGAAGACCUCGCAUGGACAGAGCCUGUGGAGGAGAUUGAUAAUGAACCACAUGAUUUGAUUUCCAUCCACUCAAAGUCAUGUCAAAAGUCUAGCCCGAGUGACGAAGAAAAACAAAAUUCAGUGAUAAACGUGAAAUUACAAACAACGGGUCAAGACACGCAAAAGGGUUCCAGUUGUUUAUUGUGUCUGAAAAGGUUUGAAAACAACUAUGCCUUGAUUGAACACAUGGCCAGCCACAAGUAAGGCACUGGUCUCUUGAGAGAAGUGUCGGGUCAAGUUUGUUCAAACCUGAAGCAAAAUUUAUCAUUCAGACUAAAUGCGCUCACUGAUCAAGGCUUCUUUUAAAAGCUUAUUUUAUCAUUACUUUUAUUUUGAAGUAUAUCCAUAAAGUAAAUGUGUACAUGUUGUGGUAGGUCAGGUUGUUAGGAAAACUGGCUUCAACGUUCUUUUAACAGAUGUUAGACCAACUUUGCACAUCUGUGUAUUUAUAUGAUAUCUAUAGGAUUUAAUUUUAGUCUGGACUCACACUUUUCUGUUCACUGUCAAAUUAACCUUGCAGAUCCAAGUGGUAUGAGUACUCUACUUUUGUUGAUGAAAAAUAGAAAAUGCGGCUGCCUUUCAGGAUCUCCUUUUGCUGGGCUGGAAUAUGACACUUUUGAGUAUUGUCACAUUAUUUGUUCUGUAACAAGUUAAACCAAAAUGUUUUGAAUGUAUUUACCAUUGUAAUUAUCUCCAAAAAAAGUUACAUCUGUGUAUGAUUUGUUUUACCAUAAACCUGUGAUGGAACACACUAUUUUAUAGGACUUUUAUAUAUCCUUGAAAUCGUCAAAGAGUGACCUUUUAUGUUUUUUGUAAUUUAACUAUUCGAAUAUGUGCUUGGGAUUCAUUUUAUGCAGACUGUAUUUGUUGAGCUUUAUUCGUGGCAUUUGUUUUGGAAAUAAAGACUGAUGGUAAUCUUUAACAAUCGCGUCAUUAAUCAGAAAUACCGUAUCUU
RNAcentral lists this long non-coding RNA (2344 nucleotides) under Salarias fasciatus (jewelled blenny). Its description in RNAcentral is "lncRNA (ENSSFAG00005019637.1)". The record is from RNAcentral. Lineage: Eukaryota; Metazoa; Chordata; Actinopteri; Blenniiformes; Blenniidae.